AACGAACGCUGGCGGCAGGCUUAACACAUGCAAGUCGAGCGCCCCGCAAGGGGCGCGGCAGACGGGUGAGUAACGCGUGGGAACGUACCUUUUGGUUCGGAACAACUCCGGGAAACUGGAGCUAAUACCGGAUAAGCCCUAACGGGGAAAGAUUUAUCGCCGAAAGAUCGGCCCGCGUCUGAUUAGCUAGUUGGUGAGGUAACGGCUCACCAAGGCGACGAUCAGUAGCUGGUCUGAGAGGAUGAUCAGCCACACUGGGACUGAGACACGGCCCAGACUCCUACGGGAGGCAGCAGUGGGGAAUAUUGGAAAAUGGGCGCAAGCCUGAUCCAGCCAUGCCGCGUGAGUGAUGAAGGCCUUAGGGUUGUAAAGCUCUUUUGUCCGGGAAGAUAAUGACUGUACCGGAAGAAUAAGCCCCGGCUAACUUCGUG
RNAcentral lists this ribosomal RNA (431 nucleotides) under uncultured bacterium. Its description in RNAcentral is "partial 16S ribosomal RNA". It matches the Rfam family "Bacterial small subunit ribosomal RNA", at positions 29 to 507 of the family's 1533-position model. The record is from RNAcentral.